AUAAAUAAAAUCUAGACAAGAUAAGAUAAGAUUUGAUAAAAUAAAAUCUAGAUGAAAUAAAAUCUAGAUAAGAUAAGAUUGGAUGGAAUAAUAUCUAGAUGAGAUAAAAUCUGGAUAAGAUAAGAUUUGAUAAAAUAAAAUUGUUUGCUCUCUUCAAGUCCGAGCCUAAUUCCGGAUUCAAGCCCAAUUGCUUAUAAUUCUCCUGAAAUUAAAUUAAAAACACAAAAUUAGUCCAGUAGGCCCAAAUGAUAAAACUGCAUAAUUAAUUUGACAAUUAAGGCUAAUCAAUAAUUAAAAAGGUAACAAAAAGGGUUAAGAAAUAGGAUAAAAUAAUGACACAUCACAAAUCUCUCCAGGAAUUCCCUCAGAGUGUAUAUUCUGUUUGAUUUAGUCACUUGACAAUUUUUGGAGUGACAACAAUGGAACCGUUUAAUCAAUCCAUUGAAAUCGCAGGGUUUGUCCCCCCCCCCCCCCUUUUUCAUUUAAAAACAUCGAUGGGUGAGAACUUUUGAUCUGCCUCUAGGUUUUCUUGAGGCUCAUGCACGGUGCCCCUCAUUGCCCUUGUGUAGGGCUUUGAGGUAUCAAUCGUUGUCUUUCGUCAUGACCUUGUCGCAGGGAACCUAUUGGGUGAGAAUUUAUGAUCCGUCCCUAGGUUCGCUUGAGGUUUAUGCAUGGUGCCUUUCAUUGCCCCAAUGUAGGGCACUGAGGUAUCCAUUGUUGUCUUGUUUUCAUAACCUUGUAGCGAGGAAGAAUGAAAGAAAUGGUUGACUCUCGAGAAACAUUUGAAGGAUUUUUUUAGUUUGACAGAUUAAGUCAAAUGACUCUUAUUCUUGAUAACUCACUUCUCUCUCAAAAAGACAAACUUUCAGGAAUGAUAAAAUGAGGUCACAUGAAUGUCUAUAUUUUUACUUGAAAACACAGUCAAUCAAAUGUUUUUUUAUUUUUUCUUAUUCUGAAACUUAUUGUUUUGAACUUUACUCGUCGUUUUACGACACCCCACCAACAUGCAGGACGAGUAAUAUCUGAUUGAACGGUCUUGGAAGUCAAAAACUCAGGAGUACAGGUCGCUUGAGCAAACAAACUAAUGGCUUACAUUCACAUUCCGGUGGAAGUUGAAUAAGCAAAGAUGUAAUUGUGAGAGGAUGAGAGAGACAGGGAUGUCAAAUUUAUCCAUCUUAUUUAUCAUUGUAACUGUGGUUUACAAUAAUGGCAUAAACUUGAAAAUCCUAAUGAGUCAUUAGAGACAUCUAGCAACAACCUUCAAAUUGCCCCAUGUGUGGCAUCUCUUGUCAAUGUCAGGCCCAGAAACAGCGCUGACAGUGGCAACUGCAGCCGUAUUGACCUCCAUUAUCUUCUUCAUGCUCAUCAUGACCUCCAUCAUUGUGGCCAUCUAUUCUUUCAUGGCCUCCAUGUCGGCCUUCAUCCGCUCUUGCACCUCGUCUACUUCAGCCAUUACUCUAGCUCUAGCAUGUGUUCGGUAAGGGUGUCGUAAAGUGCGUUCUUCCCUUUUGAUAACAAUGAUUAAGGUUUGGUUUUCAGGGAAAGAAUGCAAUGAGCAAUGCAACCAAUGAAAAGCAUGGAUGGAUGCGAAUGAUGCAUUAUUCGUGCUUUAUCGUGACUUUCUUUGUUUUGCAGAGGAAAAUGCAAGGAUCAUGCAUGAGCGAACAUGAAAACAAAAGGUAUGUAGUUUGUAGAACAAAAAGUAUGUUGAAUGCAUAUGCAUGAUGAUGCAAUGCAAAAAUGUGAUGCUUGAGUAUGAUAACUGAAAAAUGCAAGAACGAUAUGUUCAUUAUGAUGUCGUGAAGAGAGGCAUGACGCAAUCAAGGAAUAUGCCAGAGUGAGUUUUCUAUGUGCCCCUAAUUGAGGAAUCUAAUGGAAAUGAUCCAAAAGUCCCCUUCUAGUGACAAUUCCCAAGUGUGGUUUUAUGUAACCUUACUGUCUUCUAGAGAUACCAUCCUCUUAGGUAAUACAUUGUGGCGAUAGGGGCUAUCAGCGACAAUGCAUCACUAAAAGAGGAAAACUCUAGAUGAGGCUUCACUGUCAUCAAGCGAGUUGGAGACCCAGCAUGACCAUAGAUUCACCUCCACUCCUUAUGGCUCACAUAGACCCGGGCAUAGGGCCUAAUAUCUCAAUGUGUGUGUGAGGUGUAGGUGUCAUGUGUGUGUAGAAAAAAGGUAUUUCUAACUAUGAAUGUAAUUGAUAGACAAACACACCAAACACAACAACAUAGCAAAGGUUAUGUACAAAUAUGGACAAAAAACCAAAAAUAAAAGAAGAAGUCAUGAUGAGAUGUUGCACACUGAUUGAUUGGCCUGACUCUCUAAAAAUAGUCCCCAGCGGAGUUGCCAACUGUCGCAACCUACCCUUCGGCGGGAGGGCGAUGCGGGGCUCAUGGGUGCGCGGAGUCGCCACCAACGUUUAUUCAAGGAAAACGUCGUAUUAGCACCCCACGCGUCUGUCACAAGGGACGACAGCCUUCAAUCAAGUGUGCAAAUAUGACUUCAAAACUACGUAUUUUCCCUUUCUUAUGUUUUUAUGUAUUUUCCCUUUUUUAUGUUUUUUAGCUUUUUAUGGGUCUUUUGUAUUUUUUAUCUUUUUGUGGUCGACAAGGGUGUUUCCCUUGCUCCUACGUAUUCCUCAAUUGCGAUGAGAAAAUCAGACCUACGUAGUUCUUUCAGAACUAAACGUUGAUGAAGUUGUUUUUAUCUUUUUUUCGCAAGAUUGAUUUUAACCGAACAAAAGUCAUUUAAGGCGUUGGACCAAUAAACGAUCUUUUGAUUCUUUGAAAAGAGGAUAGAAUCGUUUAAGGCAUUGGACCUUUAACGAUCUCUUGGUUUUGAAAGGAGAGAAGCGUUAAGGCGUUGGACCAUUAACGAUCUCUUGGUUUUUGAAAAGGAGAGAAACGUUAAGGCGUUGGACCAUUAACGAUCUCUUGUUUUUUUGAAAAGGAGUGGUCGACAAAAGUGGGGUUUUUGCUCCUACGUAUCCUCGAUUUGUGGUGAGGAACUCAGACCUACGUAGUUCUUGCAGAAACGCGGUAAAGUUAUGUGUUGAUUUUAUGCUUUUGAACGGUCCAUCUUAACCGAUAAAAGCAAAGAGGAUCGUUUAAGGCGCUGAACCUUAAAAUGGCUUUAAGUGACUUUUGCGGACAAAGCUUGGUUUGUGAGUUGACUUUAACCUUAGUUUCACUUUGAUUAUUAAUCAAUUCAUUCAAGGAAACUUUCACAGAAAAAUGUUCGAUUGAUUUUUUUGAUUAUUUUAUUAUUAUUUUUUUCAAAGAUAUUUUGAUUAUUUUAUUAUUAUUUUGCUUUUUGAUUUAACCGAGGUUACAAUGCGAACGAUCGGUUAGAUUUUAUUUUAACAGUGAUCAAACGAGAUUACAACACAAAUGAUCGGUUGAAAUUCAUUUUAUCAAUUUAUUAGGCGAGAUAACGGCUUAAAUAAACAGUUAAAAGCUCGUUAAAAGCGGAAGAAAAGAAAAUCGAAAGUGAACAAAAUGAAGAUGAAAGCCAACAAAACAAGAAAUGAAUUGAAAGUCUCGGAUUUGAAAACUUACCAGUUGAAGACCGAAGAAAGCACGAAGAACGGACGAAGAACGGCGAAGAACAGUGGAAAAUCUUCACGGAAUUGCUCACAGAAACAUCUCGAAAGCGUUACAGAGGCACCUCGGCUUGGAUUUUCUUCACGGAAACACGUUUUUUCACCUAAAACAGAUGAAAUGCAUAGCAUAGGGGUUAGGAACAAUUUUACACAGCCCCCUUCCCCUAUUUAUAGGAGAAAAAGGGAGGAGGUUGCCGCCCAGCUUGCCCAGGCGAGCCGGUGGCUUCCUCAAGAAGCUUCCUAAUGCACUUCUCAAAUUACUAAGUUCACUCCCCCUUUUCGUACUUUACGAAAAAGUUACGAAAGCUUUAUGGAAGCAUAUCAGACUUGAUUUUCUUCUUUUUUCUCUUCCCUUUCACCAAUCUUGAGUGAAAUAUGCUUACUCAAGGUUUUGGAAAUGUUACGGAAGCAUUACAGAAGCCUCCGAAGCCAUUUUCAACAAAAUGGGGGGAGGUGCUUGCCGCCCAGCUCGCCUGGGUGAGCUGGUUGCUUACUCAGGAAGAUUCCUGAUUCAACCCCCUUUUUACUAAGUUCACCCCCCUUUUUCCGCUUUUGUGUUUUUGUUGAUUUCUUUCUGAAACAUCACGAAACUCACGGAGAUGGGCGUUAAGCUCUCCGAAGCGAUCGGUUUAGGUCCGUAUGCCAACAAACAAUUGUCUCCAGACAAAAUUAGGGCUUGACAAUCCAUUUACACCCCCUCCACUUUGCUAAAUACACCCGUUUUUCGUGUUUUUGGCCAGAUUCCAUGACGAUGGGUGUUAAACGUUUUGAAGUGGCCAAACAAGGUCUGCAUACCGACAAACAAUGGUCUCCAGACGAAAUUAAGAUAUGAAAAUAACAUUGUGUAUUAAUGUAGAAAUGCAUGGGUUUCUAUUGAUGACAGUGAUGGUGCAGGUUAAUAACCCUCAGUGAGGCUUGCAACAUACAACUAACCUAAACUACAGCUUAAAAAAAAGGGUCAAGCAUUUUAAUAAGUUUGUCUGCAAAUUCUGCCGUCAAAGUAUUGGAUAUAAGUAAGCCAUGCUUAAUUAAAAUAGCCUCCAUUAGACCAUUUGCAAUUCUUCUAAAAAAGGCUAAACAUAAUAACAAAAUUAAACAAUUUAUGUCCUUUUCACUUAUUUUGAUCAAUUGUUACCAACAUUGCUAGUAGUUUUGGGCAUAGGAAUCAGAACAUUCAAAAGGCCAAUGCAAUGGCCGUGGCAAUAAAUGCAACAAAGGAUAAUAUUUUGCAACAUUGGAGUUAAACAGACUAAUGCAGAGUGAGGUUUGGUCAACCAGAAAGUUGGAUUCAAACAAAAAUUAUGACCAUUUUGACAAAGGCAAGAGAGAGGAUUGAGGUUUGGCCUAUUGUUGAAAGUAAACAGUUGUCUAACACUAUGGACCAAGAUACUGUACAAAGCUUCUUGAAGCCAUGUAUGAAUGAAGAGAAGUCAGAGUUGUUAGAAGAAAAGUCAGAAUUGUUGACCAAAGUGGCAGUUUCCGACAAUAAUCAUGCUUUUUUUUUACAGAGGGAACAAAACUACCCUACAUUGUUCUCCAUAUGCUGACAUUAUUAUUGUUGACUUUAAAUUGAAUCGAUCUCACUGUUCAUUACAAGAAAAUAAAAUUUAUCAGCAAUAUCCUUUGGAACAUAACCACCUCUUAUGGCCAACACAUUCUUUUCAACAGAUUAGAGAAUUGAGUUAGCUAAAACUCUGAUCUGGCUGCCCUUCUAUUAGUCUGCACCAAUGACCAAACAAGUGAUGAAGAUUUUUAGGGACAAAAGUUGCAAGUUUGAUGAAGAUUUUCAAGGACAAAAGUUGGAAGUUUGAUUGUGACUACAGCCAUGACUAUGUCUCUAUAUAUAGAUUAGGAGAUAGUCUUGGAAAACCAUUAGGUACAAAAAUUAUUGAUGAAGAGAUAAUAAAGCUACCUACACAUAUAUGGAAGGUACACAAAUCCUUCGAAAAUGGAUGAGGGAAACUUACUUGUUUCUAGCAGUUCCACUGUGCAAGUGAUGGAAACAUAGGCACUUGCGAAUUGACAAAUGCUAUGAAAUAUAAAAUUGCCACAAGCUAACCUUGCAGUGUUGAAACAAAUCAUUAAUAUGCAACACACAACUGGUAUACAAGGUCUGAAUGAACAUAUGUUGGUUCCAUAUUAAAUGCAUUAGUGUAAAAUAGUGGAUGCAAUGCUACAUGUAAGGUUCAACUCAAUUAACAUUACCAUUCUUUAGUUAGUAUGACAAUCUAUUUUCUUGUCUUCAUAUACAUUGACUUGGAAUAAUUGCUAAACUUGUACCUUGCUUACUGAUUUCCUAGUCAAAUAAAACAUCAAUUACCUCUUCUACAAUUCUACUUUGAAAUUGAUUUAUAAGUGUUGUUUGCAUGGAAUAUGUAUCCACUAUACAACAGAAAAAGUGAUUAUAUUGUAUGAAAAUGAAGUGAAGCUCAAGUUGUAGGUAUUAAAUUAAUGUUGUAAAUUGUUUAAGUAGGCCGUGACUAUUUUGCUGAAUGAAAAUUCUAUUAUUUGUCAGGAGGAGGUGUGUGGAAAAAAAAUGAAAAUAUAAUUUCUUAAGCCUUCAUUUUUCAAAAUACGGGUUUAGUACUUUAGUUCCAUUACUAUUUAUAUGCAAUUAUACUGAUGUAGUGGAAGAUGACAAUUAGGUAUCACGUGGAAAUUAAUUAGAACCAUUAUAAUCUCAAACCAUAUAAAAAUUUCUCAUUACCUAGACUUUCCUUUAUGGCUUUUUUCUUCCUAUAUUAAUCAUAUUUUUUUUCUUAAUAUUAGGUGAUUAUAUGUAUUAUUGUGAUUAGUUUUAUGGUAAAGUGCUUAGGUAUCAAAUUGAUUAAUUAUGUAUUAUUGUUGUUGUCCAUUAAUAGGAUUGAAAAGAAAUUGGAAGAGCUGCACAUUGAGAUGGGUGAAUUAUGUGAGACCUGAUCUCUGUCCCCUCUUGAGAUCAGGUCUGACAUAAUGCAAGUGAGGCAUGGUUGGUUGGAAAAGUUUUUUUUUAUUUGCAAGGAUCUCACAAUAGUAGAGCCUUCAUGUCUAUGAUGGAUCAAAUUUGGAGAGUGAAGGGAGGUGUGGAGAUUAGGGAAGUGGGGAAAAACCUUAUCAGUUUUAAAGUGUAAGGUUGGAACUGUGGAUGAAAGUUUUAAAGAUACAUUUGUAUAUGGACAACCUGAAAGUCAAAAUAAAUAUAAAACUUUGGAUCUGUUAAAAGGACAGAAACCGAGGGAUGAUGUUGCCUGGUUAUGUAUGGGUGGUUUUAAUGAAGUAAUGGGGGCAGAUGAGAAGUAGGGGGUUGACAUAUUGAUGCAAUCCUCCCUAAGAAGGGACCAGUCACUAGAGCCAUGAGCAAGAGGCUCCAAGAGGAUUGGGCUAGAGCUGCAGAAGAAGGCCCUAGGGUUCUCAUGAACCUCAGGGUAGAUUUCUGAGCCCAUGGGCCAAGUUUGGGUCCAAUUCUCUUUGUACAUAUUAGACUAGGAUGUCAUUAUAUUUGGUCCUUGUAUUUAGGGAUCCAUAUUGUAGGUAGGGUACCCUAGAAAUAUAGGAUUUUUCAGCCCUUGUAUUUUAGGGCACCUAGACUAGUUUUUGUAUUAGGGGUAGUUAUGUAAUUUCACAUGCACUAAGUGAAUAUUUGAUGUGUGUGGUUGGAAAUAAAUUUAAUUGAAUUGGUAGAAGCCCAAUCCAAUUAAAUUUUAGAGGGGGAAGUGAGCAUUUGCUUACUACACCCCAUUGCCACAUCAUAUAGUCACAUUUUGUGUUUGUCCUUCAUGCUUUACAUGCCUCAUGACACCUAAGCACACUUAGUGGAGAAUCUUGGAAUUGAUCUUGGAUUAGUGGGCUGAACCAUAACUAAAAUUCACUAAUCAUAAUUAGUGAAAUUUUGGCUCCAAAGUUUGGCUCCACAAAUUCAAUUUCAAAUUCAAGUGAAAUUUGAAUUGAAAUUCAAAUUUCACUCCAAUUUUGUGUGACACUUAGGCUAUAAAUAGAGGUCAUGUGUGUGCAUUUUUUUAAACUUUGAUCAUUUGAAAAUUAAACUUCAGAUUUCAGAGCUCUUUUAGAGCACAAAAUUUCGUGCUCUUCUCUUCCUCUCCCUUCAUUCAUCUCCUUCUUCCUCCAAGCUCUUAUCCAUGGCCUCCUAUGGUGGUGAGUUUCUUCUAGACUCAUCUUCUCCUUGAAGUGGCGUCUCCUCUCUCUUCUUUCUCUAUUCCGUUGUCAUUCAUCUUCCAAGAAGCAAAGGAAUCCAUUGAUGAAGAAGAUCCUAGACCUACAAGCUCCAAAUGGAGCUUACAUCACAUAUGAACUUUCAGAAUGUUGAGUUGUUUAACCAAAUUGUUUUGGAUUGUUGUUUGAGGGAUUUGGGUUAUGAAGGGUAUAAAUAUACCUGGUCUAAUAACAGUUAAUAUGCUAAGAUAGUGGAAGAGAGAUUAGAUAGAUAUAUGGAAAGUGAUGUAUGGAUGAAUUGCUGGAAGGAAGUCAGGGUAUUCCCUUCGGCAAGAUAUACAUCUGCCCAUAAUCCAAUGGAAUUGGAUUUUCAAAAUCAGAUUCUGAAAAAGGGAAGAAAAAGGAAGAAAACAAAGAGGUACAAGUUUGAGAAGGUAUGGCUAAAUGAUGUGGAAGGGUGUCAAGCAGUAACUAAAGGAUGGUGGUGCAAAGGUGAGUUAGUGACAAGAAAUUUAAAAAGAGUCAGUACUAACUUUUGGAGGAAUGGAGGUUUCCCAUUUUGGAAAAAUUCUAAAAAGAGUAAAAGAUCUGAAAAAGAAAUUGCAUUAAUUACAAAAAAAAGAAGCAAAUAGAGGAUAUUAUUUUGCUGAUAGCUACGAAAGACGAGGAGUUGGAUGAGUUGCUUAAAUUGGAAGACGAAGUGUGGCUGCAAAGAUCAACAGGCAUUUGGUUAGAAGGGGGAGAUAGAAACACAAAUUCUUCCAUAGAAAAGCUUCUCAAAGGAAUCAAACAAAUAAGAUCAAAAAAAUAAGGAAUGAUGGAGGGAUGGUUUUUUAUGAUGAAGAGAACAUUGAAAAGGGUCUCACCGCUCACUUUGAAGCAACCUGUAAAUGUUGUGAUCCAAAACUAUAAAUGAGCUGGUUGAACUAGUAGAGGGAAGACUGGAUGAUGAGAUGAGGGAGAUCAUGAACAAAGAUUUUACUUAGGAAUAAGUAAAAUAGGCAUUAUUUCAAAUGCAUCUAGCGCAUUGUGGGAGAUGAUGUAAUAAAAAAGGCAUUAAAAGUAUUGAAUUAGAAUGCAGACCUAGGUAAAAUAAAUAAAACACUUAUUGUGCUAAUCCCUUAAGUGAAGAAGCCUGAGUUUAGGCCCAUAAGCCUUUGUAAUGUAAUUUUCAAGGUCAUUAUAGAGGCUUUUGCAAAUAGGAUGAAAAUUUUUUUGCCCUCUUUGAUUGGUGAAUCUCAAAGUACUUUUGUGCUGGAUAAGUUAAUAACAGAUAAUACUAUCAUAGUUUUUGAAUUUUUUCAUCACAUGAAGCAAAAGAAGAAAGGGACGAAAGGGAUUAUGGUUCUAAAGUUACACGUCUUAAAAGACUAUGAUGGGGUGGAGUGGGAUUUUAUGAGGAUGGUGAUUCAAAAUAUGGUUUUUGAUAGGCAUGAAGACCCAAAUGACAAGCCCAAAAGGAGGACUAAAACACCUCAAAAUUUGAAGGAUUAUGCCAAUUCUGUUAUUUUGUAGUACUCCACUAUGCUAUAAUUAGUAGUGAUCAAUUCUGUUAGAAAUGCUUUGUGCUUUUGGCAAUUUUGUUAUUUCCUAUAGUGCUCUAUUAGUGCAUAGGUGAUCCAUAUGACCCAGACAGUCACCAGACUCUCAUCUUUCAUCACAUAGUUCUUAAGGUCUAACCUUGUGAAUGUGUGUAUUUUCUGACAGCCGAGAACCCGAAUGCGAGAUAGGGUAGGUAUAUGCUAGUUCGGGAAGAAUAUUAUUAAUAUUAUUAUCCAAAAAAAGUUGUGGACACGUAUUGCAAUAAUGACAAAAUGACUAAAUGAGACCCUACACUAGUACUAUCCCAUUACCUAUGCAUACAAACAAGAAAGAAAAAAGGGAAUGAAUCCAUUCAGGAAAAUCAUACAUAAAACCAACAGUGUCUUACUAGUUACUGGGUUGUGGACUUUUAGUGAAGUGAAACAUGGACAUGAAGCAAGUUGGUAUAUUGGGUGCCAAAAUUUAUAAAAGAAAUAUUAUUGUUUUAACUUAAUAAUACUACUAUUAAAUGACUAUUCUGAAAUGAAUAUGAAAGAAGGGUGAGAGCAGUUAGUAGAAAAAGCAAACCUUGUGCUUUACGCCAUGUAUAUAUCCAUGCGGAUUGUUGUAAUUGCUGCCUUUGCUUUUAAUUCCUGCAACAACUGUGUCUGUGUGCUCCAACUACGCCAACUUUAACUAUGAACUGAACCUUCCCACUUCACCUUAAUUUCCCUGCUUGCAAUCAACACACAUAAAUGGGUUAUACUAUAACAAACAGACUUUCAAUUAAAAAGGGUUUAUUUGAAAGACAUGUUGUGAACCACAGCUAGCUAGCUAUAGGCCACCAAAACGUUUGACCCUAUAGUAGCCACAUGCACAAGCUAGCAUUGCUUUCAAUUAUUUUCAGUUAGCUGCCAUAGACUGUUAGUGUAGUGGAUGACAUUACAUUUAAAGCCAGCUAAGCUAAAACUGGUUUAAGUUAGUUUCCAAACACUAGCUUCUUUAAAGACAAUACAUUGGUAUGGGAAUGUGAUAUUGGUGAUAUAUAUAUAUGCUACCUCUAUAGCUCUGAAUCUGAUAGUCUGAACCAAUGUUGAAAAUUUCAUUCAUACAAAGGCAACUACUAGAGUCUUUUGUUUUCUUAUUUGGAUUCAGUGAAACUAAAGCAAAACUAAAUGCCCAAGCAGGAUUCCAAUUAUAGAUGUUGCAACAUAACAGAAACAACCUCAAAGGAAAUGUUUUUGAGUAAGUGAUGGGAAAGCAAGAAAAGUUAAAUUAAAACAAGACUAUAAUAUAAUACUUCACCAUGCAUGAACCUAAUAAUAAAUUAAUUGAUGACAAAUUGCAAGGGAGUUAAUGAGAUUUUGAAUGCUUUUAAGGGAAAGCAAAGAAAAAAAGGCGAGCUUGGAACAUAUAUAGCUAGGGUGCAAGAAAGAGGAAGCAAACAUAGAUUUUGGGUGAUCAAUUCUGUUAAAAAUGCUUUGUGCUUUUGGAAAUUUUGUUAUUUCCUAUAGUGCUCUAUUAGUUCAUAUGUGAUUCUGUUAUUUGCUUUUGUCUGUUAGCAGGCACUAAUACCUAUUUUCUUAGGGUGUAUCCUCUUGAAGCAAAAAAAGGGGCAUAAUCCGAGCUUCAUUUGGUCGAGCAUAAUGGUAGUAUGGCAUAUUUUAAAAUAGGGUAUGGUUUGGCAAGUUGGGGAUGGGAAGAACGUGAAAGAUUUGGAGGGAUAAAUGGAUUAGGGGGUGUGAAGAUAAUAUGUUGAGAUUAAUUCCUAGUGAGGGUUUGGAAGAUAUGAUGCAAGCAUAUCUUAUAGAAAAUGACUCUAGAAAAUGAAAUAGGUCCCUUAUCUUAUAUAUAUUUGAAGAAGGAUAAAGUGACCAAAUCCUUGCUAUUUCGUUGGGAUAUAGCCAAAGAGAUGAUAAGUUGGCUUAGGGGCUAACUUUAGAUGGAAAAUGCUCUGUAAAAAAUGGGUAUAGAGUAGCACAGAGGAACAACGGAAUGGUCCAUAGAACACCUUAUAUAUCUCAAUCAAGACAAGAAAUGGUGAACAUGCACCAAAGCACCACAGAAGAGCAAGGAUACUUGUAAUUUAUGCUCAAUGACAACUCUUUUGCUUCUUCUACACCAGAGACCUUAGCAGAAGAAGUUUUGUGAGAUGGUCUAUGGAACAUAGAUGAUGUUCGUGGAAAUUUCAGUGUAGCUAGUGCAGUAAGCAAAGUCGGUCAAUACAAUUUAGUUGCUCCCUUCUGUUAAUGUUUUUUUGGUUAAGCAAAGUAGUCCUAGGUAGCUAAUCUAAGUCAUACUUUCAUCAUAAGGCUCCAAAAGCCAGAAGCUUUGAGGUUUGGAUUAGUUAUUAUUGCAUAAAUUGUGUAGUAGAAGUAGUAAAUGAUGUUAUAUGAAAUGGAAAAUAAUAAAAAAUGAUGGAACAUAAUCCAGUCAAUUAUAUUGUUUAACCCGAAUUUUCUUCUCCCCAAAUUUGGAACAUAACUUUUAGAUAGUAAAAUAGCUAUUUUAAUCUAAGUUAUUAUUCUAAUCAAUUCCAUUGUAUUCUCUACUACUAAUCCAAAUAUAGCCUAAAAGAUAUGACAACUUCUAAAACUUCAUAAAAAAGAAACUAAUCCAAAAUAGCCUAAAAGAUAUGAUAGCUUCUAAAAAUGCAUAAAAAAGAAAGGGAAGGUGAAUGCCAAAAAAGUGUUGAUUAAUUCUAAAGGGUUAACAAGAAAAUUAGCCAAAUAUGAAGAGGGACAGAGAUCUCGUAUGAUUUGCAUGGAUUUCCCAUUGUUGUCUCAAUGGUGAAGAGGCCAUUAUGGUCGGUUCACUCUAUAGCAGCAGCCUAAACAUUCAAAUAUUCAAUUCCUUCCACUUUACACACCCACAACAUAGUAUAUGUAUAUAUAUAUAUAUAUGUGUGUGUGUGUGUGUGUGUGUGUGUGUGUGUAACAGACCAACUUGCUUCAUGAUUUGAAUCACAAACUAAGCAACUAACGGGCAUAAUGUUCGCUAUUACGUAAGUCCUCACAAUGUAAUCAGGAGGAAAAGUUGCUUACUCAAAGUAGAAGAACAAAAGCAACGAUUAUGACAAAACUAAUUCUAAUAAAAUGAACUAUGAAGGCCACAUGCAUACCUAAAUUGGGGCUGAGCCUCAGCAAAGGAACCAGUAGGUGACCUUCAAUCACAUUCAAACCAAGAUGACAACAGAUCGGCACUGGAGAUGGCGGAGCAGCCUGGGGUUCACAGAGGGCACAAUGCGACGAUGUCACGGGAGCGACAGCUAGGGCGAAGAAGCAAA
RNAcentral lists this long non-coding RNA (12556 nucleotides) under Glycine max (soybean). Its description in RNAcentral is "long non-coding RNA (GMAX_LNC001072)". The record is from RNAcentral. Lineage: Eukaryota; Viridiplantae; Streptophyta; Magnoliopsida; Fabales; Fabaceae.